RNAcentral lists this ribosomal RNA (220 nucleotides) under uncultured Delftia sp. Its description in RNAcentral is "partial 16S ribosomal RNA". It matches the Rfam family "Bacterial small subunit ribosomal RNA", at positions 136 to 354 of the family's 1533-position model. The record is from RNAcentral. Lineage: Bacteria; Pseudomonadati; Pseudomonadota; Betaproteobacteria; Burkholderiales; Comamonadaceae.
UGGGGGAGUAACUAACUCGAAAGAGUAGCUAAUACCGCAUACGAUCUGAGGAUGAAAGCGGGGGACCUUCGGGCCUCGCGCGAUUGGAGCGGCCGAUGGCAGAUUAGGUAGUUGGUGGGAUAAAAGGCUUACCAAGCCGACGAUCUGUAGCUGGUCUGAGAGGACGACCAGCCACACUGGGACUGAGACACGGCCCAGACUCCUACGGGAGGCAGCAGGC